Molecule: ribosomal RNA, 497 nt
Filed under: uncultured bacterium
Lineage: Bacteria
Description: partial 16S ribosomal RNA
Rfam family: Bacterial small subunit ribosomal RNA
Source: RNAcentral
GAUGAACGCUGGCGGCGUGCCUAAUACAUGCAAGUCGAGCGAACAGACGAGGAGCUUGCUCCUCUGACGUUAGCGGCGGACGGGUGAGUAACACGUGGAUAACCUACCUAUAAGACUGGGAUAACUUCGGGAAACCGGAGCUAAUACCGGAUAAUAUAUUGAACCGCAUGGUUCAAUAGUGAAAGACGGUUUUGCUGUCACUUAUAGAUGGAUCCGCGCCGCAUUAGCUAGUUGGUAAGGUAACGGCUUACCAAGGCAACGAUGCGUAUCCGACCGGUGAGGGUGAUCGGCCACACGGGAACUGAGACACGGUCCAGACUCCUACGGGAGGCAGCAGUAGGGAAUCUUCCGCAAUGGGCGAAAGCUUGACGGAGCAACGCCGCGUGAGUGAUGAAGGUCCUCGGAGCGGAAAACUCUGUUAUUAGGGAAGAACAAAUUUGUAAUUUACUAUGCACGUCUUGACGGUACCGAAUCAGAAAGCCACGGCUAACUACGUG